This is a long non-coding RNA of Mya arenaria, 2058 nucleotides long. RefSeq lists it as uncharacterized. The transcript is spliced from 4 exons. Lineage: Eukaryota; Metazoa; Mollusca; Bivalvia; Myida; Myidae. The record is from RefSeq and is a predicted model, not a curated record.
GUGCCAUUUCAAAAAGAUGAUGCAAGUCAAAUCAUACUUUUGGUAUUUAUCAAUGUAUCGUAUAUUGUGGAAAGAUCGAUCAAAGUUGCAGAGAGCGGAUAACUGCAAAUCGAGACACUGAAAUAGAGGAAUAAAGGCAAUCAUAGGGGAGAGGAAGCGUGUUUAAUCAGAUGAGGAUGAAUAAAUGUCAGUGAUAACACCACCAAGGCAUUCAAAGGUGACAGUGGCGAUGGCAGGACUGUUCUGCAGGCAUCACAACAGUUACUAUAAGAUCCCCAAACAGUUGCACCAUCUCUACAGAGGGUGUCGCGAAAUUCCGUCGUUUCUCACAACAGAGGUGCAAGCGAAAAAUGCCGCGUGGUUGAAGACAGCAUCGGACAGAGAUGGUGGGAGGGAAAUGAGGCAGACGCAAAUACACCAGGAUGAAAAAACAAAACAAUAUUAUGUUAAAAACCCUUAAUGUUUAAUGCAGUAGUGUAACCUUAAAUAUUGUUCAAUGAAAUAACUUUUAUUUCAAGUCUUAUUUUGUUUGUUUGUUUAUUUAUACAGUAACAGCCUGUGUGUAUUAUGGCAUUUUUAUGCCCCCCUUCGAAGAAGAGGGGUAUAUUGCUUUGCACAGGCAUGUCGGUCCGUCGGUAGACCAAAGCUUGUCCGAGUGAUAACUCAACAAUUCCUAGACGUAUGGUCAUCAAACUUCACAUGAAGGUUGGGCCUGACCAGUAGAUGACCCCUAUUGAUUUUGGGGGUCAUCGGGUCAAAGGUCAAGGUCACAGUGACCUUUAAUGGUAAAAUAAUUUUAAAGCUUGUCCGAGUGAUAACUCAACCAAUGCCUGCACCCAUGGCCCUCAAACUUGACAUGGAGGUUGGGCCUGACCAGGAGAUGACCCCUAUUGUUUUUGGGGGUCAUUGGGCCAAAGGUCAAGGUCACAGUGACCUGGAAUGGUAAAAGGUUAUCCGAGUGAUAACUUGACAAUGGCUGCACCCAUGGCCCUCAAACUUGAUUUGGAGGUUGAGCCCGGCCAGAAGAUUGUCCCUAUUAAUUUUAGGGUUCAUUGGGCCAAAGGUCAAGGUCACAGUGACCUUGAAUGAUAAAAGGUUGUCCAAGUGUUAACUCAACAAUGCCUGCACCGAUGGCCCUCAAACUUGACAUGGAUGUUGGGCCUGACCAGUAGAUGACCCCUAUUGAUUUUAGGUGUCAAAGGUCAAGGUCACAGUGACCUUGAAAGCAAACUCGACAAUUCUUGGACCUAUGGUCAUCAAACUUGACAUGAAGGUUGGGCCUGCUCAGUAGAUGACCCCAAUCGACUUUGGGGGUCAUCAGGCCAAGGUCAAUGUCACAGUAACCUUUAACGCAAAAGAGUUAACAAAUCUUCCCCCACUGAUAUCUCAACAAUGCCUGAACCUAUGAUCAUUAAACUUGACAUGGAUGUUAAGCCUGACCAGUAGAUCACCCUUAUUGAUUUAGGGUUCAUAAGAGCCAAAGGUCAAGGUCACAGUGAUCUUGAAUGGUAAAAGGUUGUCCGAGUGAUAACUCAACAAUGCCUGAACCCAUGGCCUUCAAACUUAACUUGGAGUUGCAUCUGACUUGUAGAUGAACCCUUAUGAUUUAAGUGGUCAUCGGGUCAAAGGUCAAGGUCACAGUGACCUUGAACGAAAAAAACUUGUCUUGUGAUAACUUGACAAUGCCUGCACCAAUGGCCCUCAAACUUGAUAUUUAGGUUUCUGGUGACCAGCUGAUGACUCUGGAUUUUGAGUUCAUAGAGUCAAAGGUCAUGACGGUCAUAACACACUUUAUCCUCACACUUUAAUGGUCAUAAUCUUAAAACAGCAACAAAUCAGCUGUCAUUUCGGUCCAUGCAUAUUUCAUUCAAUUGUCCAUAUAAUCCUGACAACAUGGCGCUCAGGGGGGGCAUAAUGUUUGACAAACAUCUCUUGUUUGUAUUUUAACUUGAUUUUGAUAAACUGUUCAGGGGUAUUAUCCACAUUCUGUGAUAAUUCAAUUGUUUAAAUAUUUAUAUAGCAAUGAUAAUAAUAAUAAAAUUUUAUAGGUUUACGGUU